Molecule: ribosomal RNA, 832 nt
Filed under: uncultured bacterium
Lineage: Bacteria
Description: bacterial SSU rRNA
Rfam family: Bacterial small subunit ribosomal RNA
Source: RNAcentral
AGAGUUUGAUCCUGGCUCAGAACGAACGCUGGCGGCGUGGCUAAGACAUGCAAGUCGUACGGACCGCGGUAGCAAUAUUGCGGUUAGUGGCGAAAGGGUGAGUAAUGCAUGGGUAACGUACCCUGAACUCGGGGAUAACAGCAGGAGCAAUCCCUUUAGCGAAAGUGCUGCUAAUACCCGAUGAAGUCGCCGGGUCGCAUGACCGGGCGACCAAAGGUGGGGACCGCAAGGCCUGCCGGUUUGGGAGCGGCCCAUGUCCUAUCAGCUAGUUGGCGAGGUAACGGCUUACCAAGGCUAUGACGGGUAGCCGGACUGAGAGGUCGAUCGGCCACAUCGGGACUGAGACACUGCCCGGACACCUACGGGUGGCUGCAGUAACGAAUAUUGGACAAUGGGCGCAAGCCUGACCCAGCGACGCCGCGUGCAGGAGGAAGUCCUUCGGGAUGUAAACUGCUGUCAGGGGCUAGCAAGCAAAGGGUGUUAACAGCAUCCGGCGUUGAGCCGCCCCAGAGGAAGCCUCGACUAACUCUGUGCCAGCAGUCGCGGUAAGACAGAGGAGGCAAACGUUGUUCGGAAUCACUGGGCUUAAAGCGCGUGUAGGCGGCGGCGCAAGUGUCGUGUGAAAUCCCACGGCUCAACCGUGGAACUGCACGGCAAACUACGUCGCUUGAGGUUGGUAGAGGUGCCUGGAACUCUCGGUGGAGCGGUGAAAUGCGUUGAUAUCGAGAGGAACGCCGGAAGCGAAAGCGAGGCACUGGGCCGAUUCUGACGCUGAGACGCGAAAGCGUGGGGAGCAAACAGGAUUAGAUACCCUGGUAGUCCACGCUGUAAA